This 350-nucleotide ribosomal RNA is filed under the name uncultured bacterium. Its description in RNAcentral is "bacterial SSU rRNA". It matches the Rfam family "Bacterial small subunit ribosomal RNA", at positions 18 to 399 of the family's 1533-position model. The record is from RNAcentral.
UUUGGCUCAGGAUGAACGCUGGCGGCGUGCUUAACACAUGCAAGUCGAACGAACCUUCGGGUUAGUGGCGGACGGGUGAGUAACGCGUGGGAAUCUGCCCUCAGGAGGGGGAUAACGGUUGGAAACGGCCGCUAAUACCCCAUAUGCCGAGAGGUGAAAUGAAUUUCGCCUGAGGAUGAGCCCGCGUCUGAUUAGCUAGUUGGUGAGGUAAGAGCUCACCAAGGCAUCGAUCAGUAGCUGGUCUGAGAGGAUGAUCAGCCACACUGGGACUGAGACACGGCCCAGACUCCUACGGGAGGCAGCAGUGGGGAAUUUUCCGCAAUGGGCGAAAGCCUGACGGAGCAACGCCG